RNAcentral lists this ribosomal RNA (489 nucleotides) under uncultured bacterium. RNAcentral's name for it is "bacterial SSU rRNA". It matches the Rfam family "Bacterial small subunit ribosomal RNA", at positions 30 to 518 of the family's 1533-position model. The record is from RNAcentral.
UGAACGCUAGCGACAGGCCAACACAUGCAAGCGAGGGGCAGCACAAGGAGCAAUCUGAGGUGGCGACCGGCGCACGGGUGAGUAACACGUAUGCAACCUGCCUGUAAGCGGGAAUAACCGUUGAAAGACGGACUAAUACCGCAUAAUACUAAAUUACUGCAUGGUAAUUAUUUAAACAUUUAUGGCUUACAGAUGGGCAUGCGCAUGAUUAGCUAGUUGGAGAGGUAACGGCUCCCCAAGGCAACGAUCAUUAGGGGUUCUGAGAGGAAGGUCCCCCACACUGGUACUGAGACACGGACCAGACUCCUACGGGAGGCAGCAGUGAGGAAUAUUGGUCAAUGGACGAGAGUCUGAACCAGCCAAGUCGCGUGCAGGAAGAAUGUCCCUAUGGAUUGUAAACUGCUUUUGCAGGGGAAUAAAGUGCAUCACGUGUGAUGUUUUGUAUGUACUCUGCGAAUAAGGAUCGGCUAACUCCGUGCCAGCCGCGGC